RNAcentral lists this ribosomal RNA (508 nucleotides) under Haplopus sp. WS111. RNAcentral's name for it is "partial 16S ribosomal RNA". The stretch from base 392 to 508 matches the Rfam family "Bacterial large subunit ribosomal RNA", at positions 2473 to 2588 of the family's 2925-position model. Lineage: Eukaryota; Metazoa; Arthropoda; Insecta; Phasmatodea; Phasmatidae. The record is from RNAcentral.
AAAACAUCUUUUCUUGUUAUUAAUUUGAAAUCUGGCCUGCCCAAUGAUUUAUUUAAUGGCCGCGGUAUUUUGACCGUGCAAAGGUAGCAUAAUCAUUAGUUUAUUAAUUGUGGACUUGUAUGAAUGGUUAGACGAGAUAUUUUCUGUCUGCAUUUUUGUUUAUAUAAAAUUUAAAUUUUUAGUUAAAAUGCUUAAAUUUUAUUAUUGGACGAGAAGACCCUAUAGAUCUUUAUUAUUUUGUUUUUAUUUUGUUUUUAGUGGUUAUUUUUAAGUAUUUAUUUAAUUUUUUGGUUGGGGUGACAUUAAGAUACAUAUAACUCUUUUUUAUUUUAUUCAUUUAUUUUUGUAAGAUUGACCUUUUAUUAUUGUUAUAAGAUUUAGAUACCUUAGGGAUAACAGCGUUAUUUUUUUUGAGAGUUCAUAUCGACAAAAUAGAUUGCGACCUCGAUGUUGGAUUAAGAUUACUUUUAUUAGUGCAGUUGCUUAAAUAGUAGGUCUGUUCGACCUU